UUUCAAGCUUUUCUUGGUUUGAAAUAAUCUCGGGCUAACUCUCUCUGUGGUUAACUCUAACGUAUCAGGUUACAAGCAAUAAUCCAGGUUGCCAUUAACGUCGUCUUUGUUGCCGGUGAGUUCUUCUACGACUAAUUUACUUUGCUUCCCCGUGUUUGCCUGAUUCUUCAAAUUUCCAAACUAGUAGUUUGAUCAGAAUUUAUAGUGUGAAAAACAGAGUAUUGCCUGUACGUGUCUAAUUCUGACCUCGAAAAGGCCAUAUUAAGGACGUUGGGCAAAGGUGCAGCAACAUUUCUAAGCUUUACAGGUGAUUAAUUACUUGUACUUGUGCUAAUUUUUUAUUUUUAUGUAUUAGAAUGAAGUUUACUGUUGGUAUAUAUAAUUAAGCAAUGAUAAUUGUCAAUAGUUGGACUGUUUUUAGUGUUUGUAUUAAGAAUUUCAUGAUGAUUAUGCUGAUCGGCUAUUGACCAUUGAAGCUGAUCAGCAUAGUUGGUCAAUCUUUUGUUCCUUUUGUGCUUUGAAUUGUAGGAGUUCUAUACAUUGAAGAAACCAGCUAUUCUUGACAAUAAAAGUGUUGUACAGGUAAGUGAUACCUUCUCAGUCAUUUUCUAAUAUUUAUUUUAACAAAGCAAUGUUGGUACUUUGUCAUUUUCUUAAAUCUCCUCAAUUAUGGCUUCUAAGCUAGAAGUUCUAAAUUCUGGGUAUGUUUAAUGAAGGGUUGGUAAACCUGAGAGGAAGAAGUCUCAGAGUUGGUAUGCAUUUUUAACAUCUGAACCAUCAUCAUAUUCUUACAUAUACUUAUGUCUAUAUUUACUAGCUAAUGCAAGCAGACAUUUGCAUUCUUUCUGUGCCUAGUUCAGUUUUAAGAUUUUGGUAACAGUUAUUUGAUAUAUGUGAUUUUAGAUUUGAGUUGUUCACAUUUGCAUUCUAAAGCUCAAAUAUUUAUAAAUUGAUCCACAUGUUUUAUAAUUUUUUUUUCUAUAUCAUUUACAUUUGAGUUGCAUAUUCUGCAUUACCUGUCGUCUGGCUUGCCUCUACUCAUUCAUAUGGACUGAGGGAAGAUGAAUUGUGAAAAUGUCAUUUUAUCUUUUAACAGUACUUUUAAGUUUAGAAUAUAUGAUUAUUAGUAGGCAAUUAUUAUUAUCUUCACCUUGCAAUCUUAUAGUAGCUAUAAACAUAUUUCGAACUGUUGCAUGUGUUCAAAAGGCAGAGUGUUGAUGAUAAAGUUCAGAGAAGAAGACAUAAGGCAUAUCAUUAUGCUCUUGGUCAUUGGACGUUGGCUGUUGUGA
RNAcentral lists this long non-coding RNA (1289 nucleotides) under Rosa chinensis. Its description in RNAcentral is "sRNA RchiOBHm_Chr1g0315971". The record is from RNAcentral. Lineage: Eukaryota; Viridiplantae; Streptophyta; Magnoliopsida; Rosales; Rosaceae.